This is a long non-coding RNA of Hemicordylus capensis (graceful crag lizard), 1620 nucleotides long. RefSeq lists it as uncharacterized. The record is from RefSeq and is a predicted model, not a curated record. NCBI's taxonomy places the organism in Eukaryota, Metazoa, Chordata, Lepidosauria, Squamata, Cordylidae. The transcript is spliced from 4 exons.
CCCCCCCCCAAGUCCCUAUGGGUCACACAGCCCUCAGGAAUAUUUUCAAUUGGGACAGAAGGCUUCCAAGGGAAGGUGAAGUAAUUGAAAUCUCCCUCCCCCUGUGAACACCACAUUAUGAGAAACCACAGCAGCAGUUUUAGGACAGCUGGCAGCAGCAGCAGGGGGAAAAAGUUAAGUGUCUCAGUGUCUUGCGGAGCAGUCCUGUGAAAAGGGAAGACAAGGAUGAGAGCACCGUGGGAAUUGCAGCUUUUGUAGACAGCUCUGAAAUGAGGAAGAUGGCAGAAAACCAGCUUCAGUGCCGGCGCCAGAUUGUCAGGAUAUCAUGUAAGAAUGCAAGACAGCCUGCCUGCGGUUCCCAGAUAGUCUCUCAUCCAGGCACUGAACACACAGAGACCUGCUCAGCUUCAGCAAGGCCAGUAAAAAGAGGAAAAUAACUGAACAAGUUUACAGGCAGUUACUUCAGUGCAUAAUGGAAGUCAUAAUCAGCAAGGAUUCUGCUUGGCGGGCGCUCCGAAGCAUUGUGGUGCUAAACAGCAUUUAAAGUCAACCGAGGCUGGUCGGCUGCCUGGAAUGUAAUCCACUAAGCACUGGUACUCUGCAACCUCCAUUCAUCCCUAAGUAAAUUGUUUGCCUGCAUCCUUAUAAAUGUUUUCCCCCAACCUUACAACUAUGGAUGCCCUUGAAUUUACUUUAAAAGGUUGGUGCGGGGCAGGUGCUGUUUCACCGAUAUAAGCUGUGCUGCAUAAUAUCUCUCAUUAGGAUAUGGAGGAGAUGGAGGAAUCACCCAAACGGAUUACAGUGUGAUAGGUCUGUUCUGUGCAAUGUUAUCAGUACAUCUUGUAAUAUUGCUUGGGGGUACCAAAUAACAUUGAAGUCCUGUAAGCAGAUCCGCAUUUAAACUCAAUCCUAUUCCAUCUUCGUUGGUCAAGUAUUCACAGUGCUGUUGUUGAUCUGUAAAGCCCUUAGCAAUCCAGGUCUAGGAAACUUGAAGAACCACUUAUUUUACUGUUAAAAAAAAAAUGCUUGGGUGUUAAAAUCAGCAUGGAGGCACUUCUGUUGAGCCCCAUCAUCGUCGGAGAUAUGGCAAGGUGCACAGGCGUAGUUAUAAUUGAGCAGGGGUGUGUGUGGGGAGGGGGGGAGACACAAAUGACCCUGGGCCCCUAAGGGAGGCAAGGCCCACCAGCUGAGUGACAGCCUCCUUUUCAUUCUCCCCCUUGUGCCUCUCUAAAGAAGGUGGGGGGUGUGAAUGUUGGGGGAAAGGGCCCAUUUUCACUCUUUGUCCCAUGGUCCAUUCCAUUCCAACCAUGCAAUGCCCCUGAGCCCUGACAAGCUCUCACGAAGGACAGGGCCUUCUCUGCGGCGGCCCCUAGGAGAAGCUUUCCCUUCUUCAUGAAAGCUGGCAGGUUCCUCCUCCUUUGUUUUCAUUCCGAUGUCCAGCUAAACCAUACCAAUAGUGUUUUCUGUGCUUUAUUUUAUAGCCUAUUGUGAUGUAUUAUUUCAGUGUACUUUGAUGGAUUGCUUGAACUGGGUUAGCUGCUUUGAAUGUAACCUACAGAAAGGUGAGAUAUAUAAAUAUAGUGAAAUAAAUCAAUAAAAGGCAAAGUGGUUGCAUGCCAA